Long non-coding RNA from Pan troglodytes (chimpanzee), 2404 nucleotides. RefSeq lists it as uncharacterized. Lineage: Eukaryota; Metazoa; Chordata; Mammalia; Primates; Hominidae. The record is from RefSeq and is a predicted model, not a curated record. The transcript has 3 exons.
AUGAGAAAAGCAUAACACAUUUCUUUAAUCAAAGUUUUAUAUGACAUGGGAGGCUUCAGAAAUGAAGACCUAAAGACCCAGGGAAAACUGUCUAUUUUUUUGCUUAGGAUCAAUGAAGAAUGGACAGCCGUGUAGAAAUGUGAUUGGACCAAAGGUUGUGAUCUAAUGGUGAUAGGUUGCAGGGGAAACCCAGCAAGGCCUGACUGUUCAGAUUCUUCUUGGCCUCUUUGUGUGGUAUUUCUUUCUCCUGGGUAUGCAGCAGGACCCCUCUGGAAUGAGGGUCUUAUGACCUGCUUUCAAGCAAGAUCCCUUUUUGGAAGGGAAGUUUUAUUUAAUCCAUGUGUUGAGAAGAGGAGGAUGCAGUUCAUAUAACCUGGAUAUUUAAAGAGUGAAGGGAGAAAGAAGAUACAGUAAAUAUGAAAUGAAACUUUCACAUAAUUCACACAUGUACCCAGAGUUGCAAGGAGAAAACAAAAGUAUUGGGCACCAUUUUCUUCUGAAGGCCAACUUGUGGAAACCCCAGGAGCUAGCUACCAUGUUCAGGAGGCUGACCCUCAUCUGGACUCUCUCUUAUGUCAGACUGUGGAAUGUAAAUUUUGGAAGUGCCAGGAGCUAUAGUUUCUGUCAUGUAUACAAAACUUCUCUGAAGUGAGAAAGACUGCAAUUGACAUACCAAGAAGAGCACAGACAGGACACAAAGGUAUAGUCUUGUCAGUGUUCAAGCUCCUGGUGCCACUUAUUUCUCUGAAUUACUACCCAUCCUGGGAUUUAAUUGUCCUAGAGUUCUUUGGGUUGCAUGAGCCAACAAAUGCCCACUUGUCCUAAGCAAGUAUUGCUUGGGUUUUCCAUCAUUUCAUCUUCUAUUCUAUACAGAAGAUUCAGAAGAUUUAACAAAGUCCUAGGUAUGAAUAAGGAAAUAAAUCUUAGGACAGAUUAUUUCCAGGAGCAGUAAUUAGAAAUAUUAAGCUGUAGCCAGACAUGUCCAUGGCAUGAUGUAUAGUUAGGAUAUGUAGCAUUGACCACAACACAGGUAUGGUGGUUUUAAAAAAUAUGUUGCAAAUUCUUUGACACUGAUUCUCUUUUCAUUAGGUCAGAUCUAAUUCCUUCUCCUUUUGACUAUGGACUUGACUUAGUGACUUGUUUCUAACAAAUAAAAUAUGAGAGAAGUGAUGUUAUAUAACUUUUGAGACUAGGUCUUAGAUAGUUUCAACUGGCCUUCUUUCUCAUGGAUCACUUGUUCUUGGAGAAGUUAACCUCCAGGUCAUGCAGACAGGCAAAGAACCUGGAGAGAGGCCUAUGUGGAGAGAAACCGAGGUCACCUUCAACAGCCAACACCAACUUGCCAGCUAUGUAAGUGAGCCAUCUUGAAAUGGAUCCCCCAGUCCCAGUUAAACCUUGAGAUGAUUGGUCAACAUCUUGAAUGCAAUCUUAUGAGAGACCAUGAGCCAGAGCUACCCAGCCAAGCCACUCCUGAAUUCCUAACCCACAGAGAUAAUAAAAUGUUUACAUUUUUAAGCUACUAAAUGUACGGGAAAUUUGUUGUAUAAUAAGAUAACUAAUACUAUGUCCAAGAUUUAGGGAAAUUACUUUGAAGAGGUUCGUCAAUUAGCAUCAGUCAUAAGUGACGGCAGGAGAUCCCAAAUAGGCAACUCAGUCAUAAAAAUAAUUGGAGUUCAUGAUUACAGGUUUGGUCCCCAGGAAAUAGAGCUCCAGGUAGAAAACAUUGUUAAUGAAGAACACAUGGGAAUAGAAUCACUUAAUCAUAUAAAAAGAGUGAUAGAAUAAUAUAAUGGCUAAGAUAAAGAGUUUGAGAGUUACACAGAUUUAGAUUCGGAUCUUGGCUCCACUAGUUUCUGUUUGAACUUAUUACUUGUCUGUAUUUUUUAGUUUUAUUUUGGGAUAGUUUUAGGCUUACUAAAAUGUUACAAAAAUUAUCAAAAGAGUACCUAUGUACUCGUCACCCAGCUUCCCCAAAUGCAUAAGAAUUUCGCAUAAGAAAAAACAAAACAAAACAAACAAUAACAAAAACAUAAGAUGCCUGGUACCAAGUCCCACGAGUGACUGAAAUCUCAAUUUGUAUUCAUAGAAAGUCUAUUCAUACCACCUUAUCCUGUUCCCUUUUUCUUGGUCCUACUUUUUCCAGGACACCUGGGUUGUCCUCUUCUCCCUUCUGUGCCAAACUGUCCUUUCCCAUUGAAAAUUAAUGUAUGCAGGCUCAUUUCUCUCUUUAAAAGAUGCAGUCAGGAGCUAAGAAGCCAGCCUGAAGUUUCUCAACCUCCGUUUCUUAACUCUUUAGCAAAAACAUUUCCAAAAUGAAAGACCCUCCUCCAUCAUGCCCCACACCAAGAAAAUGUGAGAAAUGGAUCAUAAAUUUCUCAGAAAAAUGAUAAUUCAAGAAAUUUCA